UCAAGCCUUAAUUUCUAAACCUCCUGCUGACGCCCACCUCCUUCUCACGCUGCGACCUGUCACGCCCACCUCCCGCUCAUGCCACAACCUGUCUCUGUCUCUCAACCGCCAACGUCGGCGACUAUUGCAACGCACCGCCGAUCACCCAACUGAGCGUCGAUCGAAGUUGCUUGCCAACGCCAGGUUUUAAGUGUAACAUGGAGUAAUGAUGCAGAACGUAUAUUUUCAGGGAGCAGUGAUGGGUAUGUACAUGUACCACCAAUUGUUACUUGCAAUGAAAAUCAAUAUAAUGUACUAAUUACUAUGAACGUGAUCUUCUCCAAUUUUGUUGCUAAAUUAUAGUUACUCCACGUUUGUGCAUUCCUCACCCUACUUGCCCUAAUUUUAUUGCUAAAUUAAAGUUACUCUUACUUGUCUUUUGCCAAAUGCAUAAACAAGAUCACCAUGGUGAGGAUUAUUCAUAGUCCUUUGCACUAAGGUGAGGAUUAUUCAUAGAUCACCAUGUUCUUAAAUCUAUUCAUUUCUUACAAUUUUUUUUUUGUUUGUUUCCCUUUUAGCUUCAUUGCCCAUAUGAAUUGAAUUUUGAUAAGGUAUGUGUUUAUAAUGUUGGGUAAGAAGUAAUAAGAUUGUCCCUGACUCUGUUAUUGUCUUUUGUUGGUGUAUUGUAUUGAUAGGGAUGUGUGCGUCAAACUUGGAGUCUUCAUCCAAAGAUAAGGGGGUUCUUUCAUGGUUAUUCAUUUAUUACGGUUCUCAUGAUCCUAAAUCAUGCCCUCAGUGGCAUUGUUGGAUCUAUGAUGUUAAAGUAUGCUGAUAAUAUUGUGAAGGUAUUGCUUAUUACAACUACAAGCCCUUGAUUCAUUUGAUGAAUUUAUUUGUACCUUUAAGGUCCUACUACUUAAAGUUGUUAUAUU
Cucumis melo (muskmelon) is the source of this 911-nucleotide long non-coding RNA. RefSeq lists it as uncharacterized. The record is from RefSeq and is a predicted model, not a curated record. The transcript has 4 exons. Lineage: Eukaryota; Viridiplantae; Streptophyta; Magnoliopsida; Cucurbitales; Cucurbitaceae.